Oncorhynchus keta (chum salmon) is the source of this 350-nucleotide long non-coding RNA. RefSeq lists it as uncharacterized. The transcript has 4 exons. Lineage: Eukaryota; Metazoa; Chordata; Actinopteri; Salmoniformes; Salmonidae. The record is from RefSeq and is a predicted model, not a curated record.
GCUCCAGACAGCACGUAGUCCUUGUGAAGCCAUACAGGUGAUGUGGACCAUGAAGCUGCUCCAGACAGCACGUAGUCCUUGUGAAGCCAUACAGGUGAUGUGGACCAUGAAGCUGCUCCAGACAGCACGUAGUCCUUGUGAAGCCAUACAGGUGAUGUGGACCAUGAAGCUGCUCCAGACAGCACGUAGUCCUUGUGAAGCCAUACAGGUGAUGUGGACCAUGAAGCUGCUCCAGACAGCACGUAGUCCUUGUGAAGCCAUACAGGUGAUGUGGACCAUGAAGCUGCUCCAGACAGCACGUAGUCCUUGUGAAGCCAUACAGGUGAUGUGGACCAUGAAGCUGCUCCAGA